This is a small nuclear RNA of Capsicum annuum, 103 nucleotides long. The record is from RefSeq and is a predicted model, not a curated record. NCBI's taxonomy places the organism in Eukaryota, Viridiplantae, Streptophyta, Magnoliopsida, Solanales, Solanaceae.
CUCAUUUCUAGGACAUCCGAUAAAAUGUGAACGAUACGAAAAUGAUUAGCAUGAUUCUUGUACAAGAAUAAUACGCACAGAUCGAGAAGUAAUCCAAUAAUUA